AGAAUCAACGCUGGCGGCGUGCCUAACACAUGCAAGUCGAACGAGAAAGUGGAGCAAUCCAUGAGUAAAGUGGCGCACGGGUGAGUAACACGUGACUAACCUACCCUUGAGUGGGGGAUAACCUAGAGAAAUCUGGGCUAAUACCGCAUAAUACCUUCGGGUCAAAGGAGCAAUUCGCUUAAGGAGGGGGUCGCGGCCGAUUAGUUAGUUGGCGGGGUAAUGGCCCACCAAGACUGUGAUCGGUAU
This 246-nucleotide ribosomal RNA is filed under the name uncultured bacterium. RNAcentral's name for it is "partial small subunit ribosomal RNA". It matches the Rfam family "Bacterial small subunit ribosomal RNA", at positions 26 to 286 of the family's 1533-position model. The record is from RNAcentral.